This 278-nucleotide ribosomal RNA is filed under the name uncultured prokaryote. RNAcentral's name for it is "partial 16S ribosomal RNA". It matches the Rfam family "Bacterial small subunit ribosomal RNA", at positions 524 to 801 of the family's 1533-position model. The record is from RNAcentral.
UACGUAGGUGGCAAGCGUUGUCCGGAUUUACUGGGCGUAAAGGGAGCGUAGGCGGACCUUUAAGUGAGAUGUGAAAUACCCGAGCUCAACUUGGGUGCUGCAUUUCAAACUGGAGGUCUAGAGUGUCGGAGAGGUAAGUGGAAUUCCUAGUGUAGCGGUGAAAUGCGUAGAGAUUAGGAAGAACCCCGGUGGCGAAGGCGACUUACUGGACGAUAACUGACGCUGAGGCUCGAAAGCGUGGGGAGCAAACAGGAUUAGAUACCCUGGUAGUCCCUGAG